Molecule: ribosomal RNA, 399 nt
Filed under: uncultured bacterium
Lineage: Bacteria
Description: bacterial SSU rRNA
Rfam family: Bacterial small subunit ribosomal RNA
Source: RNAcentral
UAGUAACUGGGGGAAUAGGCUCCCGUGAAAGGGGAAUUAACACCGCAUAACACUAUUGAUUCGCAUGGAUUGGUAGUUAAAGUGUAGCGAUACAGGUUAUAGAUGGGCAUGCGUGACAUUAGCUAGUUGGUGAGGUAACGGCUCACCAAGGCUACGAUGUCUAGGGGUUCUGAGAGGAAGGUCCCCCACACUGGUACUGAGACACGGACCAGACUCCUACGGGAGGCAGCAGUGAGGAAUAUUGGUCAAUGGGCGCAAGCCUGAACCAGCCAUGUCGCGUGCAGGAAGACUCGCCCUAUGGGUUGUAAACUGCUUUUAUAGUAGAAGAAACACAUCUACGUGUAGAUGUCUGCCAGUAUACUAUGAAUAAGCAUCGGCUAACUCCGUGCCAGCCGCUGC